CACACUCACAACACAGCGAGACGCGCACACUGACUGACUGUCUGUCUGCAGCCGCGGAGCUCCGGCCGCACGAAUCCGGUCGGAAAGGAUUCCUUCCAUUUUUACGCGCAACUUUUGCUCCGUCUCAGCCGCGACGUUUCCUCCCGCUGCCCCUCGACUCUUGUGGAUUUCUAACAACCGUCUCCUCGCCUCUCGGCGGACAACCAUCGAGGUGUCAAGCCCGGAAUCGGAUCUCCUGUCACCGGGUUUGCUUGUUGUCAUUUUCGCUCGGAGACGGAGGCGCGCAGCCGGAGCGCAGCGCAGACUGAAGCGGCUGUGACCAGUGUCGGACUUAAUAAAGCGGACCAGGUGGCCGACAGUUCACCAGGGCUGAGAUUAUGGCACCAUGUCACAGGUGUUCCUUCCCUGGUCCAGGAAUCAGG
This is a non-coding RNA of Paralichthys olivaceus (Japanese flounder), 422 nucleotides long. The record is from RefSeq and is a predicted model, not a curated record. Lineage: Eukaryota; Metazoa; Chordata; Actinopteri; Pleuronectiformes; Paralichthyidae.